UGAGGAAUAUUGGACAAUGGUCGAAAGACUGAUCCAGCCAUGCCGCGUGCAGGAUGACUGCCCUAUGGGUUGUAAACUGCUUUUAUACGGGAAGAAAAACACCUACGUGUAGGUGACUGACGGUACCGUAAGAAUAAGGACCGGCUAACUCCGUGCCAGCAGCCGCGGUAAUACGGAGGGUCCAAGCGUUAUCCGGAAUCAUUGGGUUUAAAGGGUCCGUAGGCGGGCUAUUAAGUCAGAGGUGAAAGUUUGCAGCUCAACUGUAAAAUUGCCUUUGAUACUGAUAGUCUUGAAUUGUAGUGAAGUGGUUAGAAUAUGUGGUGUAGCGGUGAAAUGCAUAGAUAUCACAUAGAAUACCGAUUGCGAAGGCAGAUCACUAACUAUACAUUGACGCUGAGGGACGAAAGCGUGGGGAGCGAACGGG
This 424-nucleotide ribosomal RNA is filed under the name uncultured bacterium. Its description in RNAcentral is "bacterial SSU rRNA". It matches the Rfam family "Bacterial small subunit ribosomal RNA", at positions 355 to 776 of the family's 1533-position model. The record is from RNAcentral.